GGAAGAUUCAGCCAGCACACUGCUCGCGAGCAAGUGUCAGUCUGCUGACUGGCAGAGUCAGGAGACGUAGAUGGCCACACCCACAGACCCAGCUGCAAUGCCCCAUCCUGGGCCCUCCCCGGGGCCUGGACCUUCUCCUGGACCAAUUCUGGGGCCUAGUCCAGGACCAGGACCGUCCCCAGGUUCUGUGCACAGUAUGAUGGGGCCCAGUCCUGGACCUCCCAGUGUCUCACAUCCUAUGUCGACAAUGGGCUCGGCAGACUUCCCACAGGAAGGCUUGCACCAGCUGCAUAAGCCCAUGGAUGGGAUACAUGACAAGGGGAUUGUAGAAGAUGUCCACUGUGGAUCCAUGAAGGGUACCAGUAUGCGCCCACCACACCCAGGAAUGGGCCCUCCACAGAGCCCAAUGGAUCAGCACAGCCAAGGUUAUAUGUCACCACAUCCAUCUCCUUUGGGAGCCCCAGAGCAUGUCUCCAGCCCUAUAUCUGGAGGAGGCCCAACCCCACCCCAGAUGCCGCCGAGCCAGCCAGGGACACUCAUCCCAGGAGAUCUGCAGGCCAUGAACCAGCCUAACAGAGGUCCCUCGCCUUUCAGUCCCGUACAGCUGCAUCAGCUUCGAGCUCAGAUUUUAGCUUACAAAAUGUUGGCCAGGGGCCAGCCCCUCCCUGAAACUCUGCAGCUUGCAGUCCAGGGAAAAAGGACCUUGCCUGGUAU
Molecule: long non-coding RNA, 714 nt
Filed under: Rattus norvegicus (Norway rat)
Lineage: Eukaryota; Metazoa; Chordata; Mammalia; Rodentia; Muridae
Description: long non-coding RNA NONRATT001634
Source: RNAcentral